GACGAACGCUGGCGGCGUGCUUAACACAUGCAAGUCGAACGGAAAGGCCCUGCUUUUGUGGGGUGCUCGAGUGGCGAACGGGUGAGUAACACGUGAGUAACCUGCCCUUGACUUUGGGAUAACUUCAGGAAACUGGGGCUAAUACCGGAUAGGAGCUCCUGCUGCAUGGUGGGGGUUGGAAAGUUUCGGCGGUUGGGGAUGGACUCGCGGCUUAUCAGCUUGUUGGUGGGGUAGUGGCUUACCAAGGCUUUGACGGGUAGCCGGCCUGAGAGGGUGACCGGCCACAAUGGGACUGAGAUACGGACCAGACUCCUACGGGAGGCAGCAGUGGGGAAUAUUGCACAAUGGGCGGAAGCCUGAUGCAGCAACGACGCGUGCGGGAUGACGGCCUUCGGGUUGUAAACCGCUUUCGCCUGUGACGAAGCGUGAGUGACGGUAAUGGGUAAAGAAGCACCGGCUAACUACGUG
Molecule: ribosomal RNA, 468 nt
Filed under: uncultured bacterium
Lineage: Bacteria
Description: partial 16S ribosomal RNA
Rfam family: Bacterial small subunit ribosomal RNA
Source: RNAcentral